RNAcentral lists this ribosomal RNA (492 nucleotides) under uncultured bacterium. RNAcentral's name for it is "partial 16S ribosomal RNA". It matches the Rfam family "Bacterial small subunit ribosomal RNA", at positions 29 to 507 of the family's 1533-position model. The record is from RNAcentral.
AGUGAACGCUGGCGGUAGGCCUAACACAUGCAAGUCGAACGGCAGCACAGUAAGAGCUUGCUCUUACGGGUGGCGAGUGGCGGACGGGUGAGGAAUACAUCGGAAUCUACUUUUUCGUGGGGGAUAACGUAGGGAAACUUACGCUAAUACCGCAUACGACCUACGGGUGAAAGCAGGGGAUCUUCGGACCUUGCGCGAUUGAAUGAGCCGAUGUCGGAUUAGCUAGUUGGCGGGGUAAAGGCCCACCAAGGCGACGAUCCGUAGCUGGUCUGAGAGGAUGAUAAGCCACACUGGAACUGAGACACGCUCCAGACUCCUACGGGAGGCAGCAGUGGGGAAUAUUGGACAGUGGGCGCAAGCCUGAUCCAGCCAUACCGCGUGGGUGAAGAAGGCCUUCGGGUUGUAAAGCCCUUUUGUUGGGAAAGAAAAGCAGCAGGUUAAUACCCCGCUGUUCUGACGGUACCCAAAGAAUAAGCACCGGCUAACUUCGUG